GGUAAACGCUGGCGAUGUGCCUAAGACAUGCAAGUCGAACGAGAAAGAGGGGGCAACCCCUUGAGUAAAGUGGCGACCGGGUGAGUAACACGUGACUAACCUACCUUUCAGUGGGGAAUAACCUCGGGAAACCGGGGCUAAUACCGCAUAACGUCCUGUGGUUGAAAUACCAUUGGACCAAAGGAGCAAUUCGCUGAUAGAGGGGGUCGCGGCAGAUUAGCUAGUUGGCGGGGUAAUGGCCCACCAAGGCAGUGAUCUGUAGCCGGCCUGAGAGGGCGCACGGCCACACUGGAACUGAAACACGGUCCAGACUCCUACGGGAGGCAGCAGUGGGGAAUUUUGCGCAAUGGGGGAAACCCUGACGCAGCAACGCCGCGUGGAGGAUGAAGGUCUUUGGAUUGUAAACUCCUUUCGAUCGGGACGAUUAUGACGGUACCGGAAGAAGAAGCACCGGCUAACUCUGUGCCAGCAGCCGCCGUAA
This 481-nucleotide ribosomal RNA is filed under the name uncultured bacterium. Its description in RNAcentral is "partial 16S ribosomal RNA". It matches the Rfam family "Bacterial small subunit ribosomal RNA", at positions 28 to 523 of the family's 1533-position model. The record is from RNAcentral.